RNAcentral lists this ribosomal RNA (426 nucleotides) under uncultured prokaryote. RNAcentral's name for it is "bacterial SSU rRNA". It matches the Rfam family "Bacterial small subunit ribosomal RNA", at positions 355 to 796 of the family's 1533-position model. The record is from RNAcentral.
UGGGGAAUUUUCCGCAAUGGGCGCAAGCCUGACGGAGCAACGCCGCGUGAGGGAGGAAGGCCUGUGGGUUGUAAACCUCUUUUCUCAGGGAAGAAGAUCUGACGGUACCUGAGGAAUCAGCAUCGGCUAACUCCGUGCCAGCAGCCGCGGUAAGACGGAGGAUGCAAGCGUUAUCCGGAAUUAUUGGGCGUAAAGCGUCCGUAGGCGGUUUUGAAAGUCUGCUGUUAAAGCCCAUAGCUCAACUGUGGAUGGGCAGUGGAAACUACAAGACUAGAGAGUGGUAGGGGUAGAGGGAAUUCCUAGUGUAGCGGUGAAAUGCGUAGAUAUUAGGAAGAACACCAGUGGCGAAGGCGCUCUACUGGGCCAUUACUGACGCUGAUGGACGAAAGCUAGGGGAGCGAAAGGGAUUAGAUACCCCCGUAGUCC